UUUAUUCAUUCCAUUCUACUCUUAGAAAAGGAAUAUGAAAAAAUCUCUUGCAUUAAUAGUCUUAUUAUACUUUCUUCUACUAAUGGUGGUACACAUUCCAGCAAACGAAGCGUUAAGGUAUUUACCAAACGAGCGUCUUGGCAAUUUACAGUUUCUACAAAAAGGUGAAGUUACUCCUUCUAAUCCUUCUAGCUGCACACAUAUCCCUGGCGGCCACGGGCCGCCAUGCCCUUUCCAAGAACGCCAUUUUGCUGGCCUCGCUAAAGUGCUACAACAAUGACAUGAAUUUACCAAUUUGGUAAAACCAUGUUCAUAGCUACUACACCUGCUCAUAAUUUAUUGAUUAACUAACGACGUGUAUAUAUAAUACUGUUAAGCAACCCAAAUCCCACUCCUCCUCCCUUUUCUUGUUUUGUUUUUCUUUGAUUACAAAUGAAUUUCAGUUUUGAAAUUGUAAAUACAAAUUUAAAAUCUACUGUCUAAAUGAUAAGUGGAAUGUCAUGUAUGUAUCUCUUGG
This 517-nucleotide small RNA is filed under the name Arabidopsis thaliana (thale cress). RNAcentral's name for it is "putative long intergenic non-coding RNA". The record is from RNAcentral. Lineage: Eukaryota; Viridiplantae; Streptophyta; Magnoliopsida; Brassicales; Brassicaceae.